Molecule: long non-coding RNA, 579 nt
Filed under: Spirodela polyrhiza (greater duckweed)
Lineage: Eukaryota; Viridiplantae; Streptophyta; Magnoliopsida; Alismatales; Araceae
Description: long non-coding RNA (SPOL_LNC000961)
Source: RNAcentral
CGCCACCGGGUCUUCUUCGUGCUCCCUGCCCUCUCCGCCGCUCAUUUAUUAGUUCUACAUGCCCGUCGCCCGUCUCCUCCGCUGCCCCGCUCUAACCACAGCCGGCGAAAAACUGCUCCUCCAGAGAAAUCCGGGCGAGAAUCUUGGACCCUCUUUUCCCCUUCUCCUCUCUCUCUCUCUCUCUCUCUCUCUCUCUCUCUCUCUNNNNNNNNNNNNNNNNNNNNCCUUCCUUCCUCUCUCUCUCUCUCUCUCUCUCUCUCUCUCUCUCUAUACCUAUCUAUCUCUAUCUGUCUAUCAGUCUACACAGAGCUCAUUGUUCUUAUUCCCAGUCGCAGUGCGAAUUCUUUCCUCGCUGCAAUUAUUGUCCGCGGCCUGUUUCGAAGUCGGGUCGGUGUCAUCAAUUCAUUGCGCCACCUUCUACCCCGCAUCUCCGCUGCCGCCCUUCACUCCCCUCUCUCUCUCUCUCCGAUUCCCGUGCAUCUCCAAUGGGAGGGCGAACCUCGCCAGCUCCUCUCCCGCUCUUCCUCAUCGUCCUUCUACUCAAUGUUCUCCCGCUCCUUCGCGGUAGCGUCGCCGGCG